This 820-nucleotide ribosomal RNA is filed under the name Rhodococcus sp. RKEM 1538. RNAcentral describes it as "bacterial SSU rRNA". It matches the Rfam family "Bacterial small subunit ribosomal RNA", at positions 38 to 873 of the family's 1533-position model. Lineage: Bacteria; Bacillati; Actinomycetota; Actinomycetes; Mycobacteriales; Nocardiaceae. The record is from RNAcentral.
GGCGGCGUGCUUAACACAUGCAAGUCGAACGGUAAGGCCCUUCGGGGUACACGAGUGGCGAACGGGUGAGUAACACGUGGGUGAUCUGCCCUGCACUUCGGGAUAAGCCCGGGAAACUGGGUCUAAUACCGGAUAGGACUGCGCGGUGCAUGCCGUGUGGUGGAAAGAUUUAUCGGUGCAGGAUGGGCCCGCGGCCUAUCAGCUUGUUGGUGGGGUAAUGGCCUACCAAGGCGACGACGGGUAGCCGGCCUGAGAGGGCGACCGGCCACACUGGGACUGAGACACGGCCCAGACUCCUACGGGAGGCAGCAGUGGGGAAUAUUGCACAAUGGGCGCAAGCCUGAUGCAGCGACGCCGCGUGAGGGAUGACGGCCUUCGGGUUGUAAACCUCUUUCAGCAGGGACGAAGCGUGAGUGACGGUACCUGCAGAAGAAGCACCGGCCAACUACGUGCCAGCAGCCGCGGUAAUACGUAGGGUGCAAGCGUUGUCCGGAAUUACUGGGCGUAAAGAGCUCGUAGGCGGUUUGUCGCGUCGUCUGUGAAAACCAGCAGCUCAACUGUUGGCUUGCAGGCGAUACGGGCAGACUUGAGUAUUUCAGGGGAGACUGGAAUUCCUGGUGUAGCGGUGAAAUGCGCAGAUAUCAGGAGGAACACCGGUGGCGAAGGCGGGUCUCUGGGAAAUAACUGACGCUGAGGAGCGAAAGCGUGGGUAGCGAACAGGAUUAGAUACCCUGGUAGUCCACGCCGUAAACGGUGGGCGCUAGGUGUGGGUUUCCUUCCACGGGAUCCGUGCCGUAGCUAACGCAUUAAGCGCCCCGCC